RNAcentral lists this ribosomal RNA (254 nucleotides) under uncultured bacterium. RNAcentral's name for it is "partial 16S ribosomal RNA". It matches the Rfam family "Bacterial small subunit ribosomal RNA", at positions 524 to 776 of the family's 1533-position model. The record is from RNAcentral.
UACAGAGGGGGCAAGCGUUAUUCGGAAUUAUUGGGCGUAAAGGGCGCGUAGGCGGCCAUUCAAGUGACGGGUGAAAGCCCUCGGCUUAACCGAGGAACUGCCUGUCAGACUGGAUGGCUUUGAGACCGGGAGAGGUGAGUGGAAUUCCCAGUGUAGCGGUGAAAUGCGUAGAUAUUAGGAAGAACACCGGUGGCGAAGGCGGGUCUCUGGGCCGUAACUGACGCUGAGGAGCGAAAGCGUGGGGAGCGAACAGG